RNAcentral lists this long non-coding RNA (899 nucleotides) under Brachypodium distachyon (stiff brome). RNAcentral's name for it is "long non-coding RNA (BDIS_LNC005709)". Lineage: Eukaryota; Viridiplantae; Streptophyta; Magnoliopsida; Poales; Poaceae. The record is from RNAcentral.
CCACCACGGCGUGUUCUGGCACUGCAUUGGGUACGGGACAGGGUACGGGUAAGGCACGGCCUUGUAUAUUGGUUUCGGCGGAUCAGGCUUCUUCUCAGGUUCGCACUUGCAGCAGCAUUUGCAUGGUUUGGGAACAGGUUUCUUCUCAGGCUCGCACUUGCAGCUGCAUUUGCAUGGUUUGGGUUCAGGUUUCUUCUCGGGCUCGCAUUUGCAGCUGCAUUUGCAUGGUUUGGGUUCAGGCUUCUUCUCAGGUUCGCAUUUGCAGCAGCAUUUGCAUGGUCUGGGAUCAGGUUUCUUCUCAGGUUCGGCUGGUUUUUUUGGCGGCCAUUCGGGGACGAUGAUGAUCUCCGUGACGACCUUGCAGGCCUUGGAGCAGAUCUUCUUGCGGAGCUUCUCGGCGUCGAACUUGCCGCGGACGAUCACCUUGUUGUUCUUGUCCUCGUACUCGAUCUUCUCGAUGCAGUAAUCCUCUGCGUUACACGUACGCAUAAGAAAAAUUUCCUAAUUUGUUUACGCGAAUAAUGUAUGAGCACCAUGCAAAACUUGAAUACGUAGUUAAUUUCCCGGCUUUGCUUCAAGAUACCAUUCCCAAUUUAUUUAUUUUACCUUUGAGGCACUCCAAGACUUUCUCGAUCUUCUUCUUGCAGCGGCAGCAAUCCAAGUCUACGGUGAUCACCAGUAUACUCAUCUGCAAAAAUUAAGAAGCAUGCAUGAAGAUGAACAAACCUGACCGGUCCUACCCAAGAAGUUUCUGAAACUUGAAGCUGCCCAGUGACCAAGUAAUCAGAUUUAAAUCAAAGAAAAUACUAAGCGAACAAGGAUUAGUGCAACUAGUCGAGCAACAAUUAGAGCAGAAGAAAUUAACGAACCAGGAGGAUUCGACGAUUAAGCUCACCUGU